RNAcentral lists this ribosomal RNA (1232 nucleotides) under metagenome. RNAcentral's name for it is "bacterial SSU rRNA". It matches the Rfam family "Bacterial small subunit ribosomal RNA", at positions 8 to 1275 of the family's 1533-position model. The record is from RNAcentral.
AGAGUUUGAUCCCGGCUCAGAAUCAACGCUGGCGGCGCGCUUAACACAUGCAAGUCGAACGAGAAAGUGGAGCAAUCCAUGAGUAAAGUGGCGUACGGGUGAGUAACACGUGGAUAAUCUGCCCUUUAGUGGGGAAUACCGUUGGGAAACCGACGACAAUACCGCAUAAUCCCGAGAGGGGAAAGCAGCAAUGCGCUGAAGGAGGAGUCCGCGGUCGAUUAGCUAGUUGGCGGGGUAAAAGCCCACCAAGGCUGUGAUCGAUAGCCGGCCUGAGAGGGCACACGGCCACACUGGCACUGAAACACGGGCCAGACUCCUACGGGAGGCAGCAGUGGGGAAUCUUGCACAAUGGGGGAAACCCUGAUGCAGCGACGCCGCGUGAGCGAUGAAGCCCUUCGGGGUGUAAAGCUCUUUCGGCAGGGACGAUAAUGACGGUACCUGCAGAAGCAGCUGCGGCUAACUACGUGCCAGCAGCCGCGGUAAUACGUAGGCAGCAAGCGUUGUUCGGAGUUACUGGGCGUAGAGGGUGCGUAGGCGGUCCUGUAAGUAUGGUGUGAAAUCUCCCGGCUUAACUGGGAGAGUGCGCUAUAGACUGCGGGACUAGAGUGUGGGAGAGGAAAGUGGAAUUCCUGGUGUAGCGGUGAAAUGCGUAGAUAUCAGGAGGAACACCGGCGGUGUAAUCGGCUUUCUGGACCAUAACUGACGCUGAGGCACGAAAGCGUGGGUAGCAAACAGGAUUAGAUACCCUGGUAGUCCACGCCCUAAACGAUGCAUAUUUGGUGUGGGCCAUUCAGUUGGUCCGUGCCGGAGCUAACGCGUUAAAUAUGCCGCCUGGGGAGUACAGUCGCAAGGCUGAAACUCAAAGGAAUUGACGGGGGCCCGCACAAGCGGUGGAGCAUGUGGUUUAAUUCGACGCAACGCGAAGAACCUUACCUGGGCUCGAAAUGCUGUGGACCAGCUUAUGAAAGUAGGCCUUCCCGCAAGGGACCGCAGUAUAGGUGCUGCAUGGCUGUCGUCAGCUCGUGUCGUGAGAUGUUGGGUUAAGUCCCGCAACGAGCGCAACCCUUGUCCUGUGUUGCCAUACCGAAAGGUGGAACUCGCAGGAGACCGCCAGGGAUAACCUGGAGGAAGGUGGGGAUGACGUCAUCCUCAUGGCCUUUAUGUCCAGGGCUACACACGUGCUACAAUGGACGGUACAAAGGGCUGCCAACCCGCGAGGGGGAGCCAAUCCC